GGAUGAAGAACGCAGCGAAAUGCGAUAAGUAAUGUGAAUUGCAGAAUUCAGUGAAUCAUCGAGUCUUUGAACGCACAUUGCGCCCCCUGGUAUUCCGGGGGGCAUGCCUGUCCGAGCGUCAUUGCCGCCCUCAAGCACGGCUUGUGUGUUGGGCCCCCGCCCCCCGGCUUCGGGGGGCGGGCCCGAAAGGCAGCGGCGGCACCGCGUCCGGUCCUCGAGCGUAUGGGGCUUCGUCACCCGCUCUGUAGGCCCGGCCGGCGCCCGCCGGCGACCCCAAUCAAUCUUUCCAGGUUGACCUCGGAUCAGGUAGGGAUACCCGCUGAACUUAAGCAUAUCAAUAAGCGGAGGA
This 349-nucleotide unclassified non-coding RNA is filed under the name soil metagenome. RNAcentral's name for it is "partial contains 5.8S ribosomal RNA, internal transcribed spacer 2, and large subunit ribosomal RNA". The stretch from base 2 to 121 matches the Rfam family "5.8S ribosomal RNA", at positions 35 to 154 of the family's 154-position model. The record is from RNAcentral.